Molecule: ribosomal RNA, 450 nt
Filed under: uncultured bacterium
Lineage: Bacteria
Description: bacterial SSU rRNA
Rfam family: Bacterial small subunit ribosomal RNA
Source: RNAcentral
GACCCAGACUCCUACGGGAGGCAGCAGUGGGGAAUAUUGGGCAAUGGGCGCAAGCCUGACCCAGCAACGCCGCGUGAAGGAAGAAGGCUUUCGGGUUGUAAACUUCUUUUCUCUGGGACGAAGAAAGUGACGGUACCUGAGGAAUAAGCCACGGCUAACUACGUGCCAGCAGCCGCGGUAAUACGUAGGUGGCAAGCGUUAUCCGGAUUUACUGGGUGUAAAGGGCGUGUAGGCGGGAGUGCAAGUCAGGCGUGAAAACUAUGGGCUCAACCCAUAGCCUGCGUUUGAAACUGUCGUUCUUGAGUGAUGGAGAGGCAAGCGGAAUUCCGUGUGUAGCGGUGAAAUGCGUAGAUAUACGGAGGAACACCAGUGGCGAAGGCGGCUUGCUGGACAUUAACUGACGCUGAGGCGCGAAAGCGUGGGGAGCAAACAGGAUUAGAUACCCGUGUA